UACGUAGGGGGCAAGCGUUGUCCGGAAUCAUUGGGCGUAAAGAGCGUGUAGGCGGCUCGGUAAGUCCGCUGUGAAAGUCCAGGGCUCAACCCUGGAAUGCCGGUGGAAACUGUCGAGCUAGAGUCCGGAAGAGGCGAGUGGAAUUCCUGGUGUAGCGGUGAAAUGCGUAGAUAUCGUAAGGAAGACCAGUGGCGAAGGCGGGUCUCUGGACAGUUCCUGACGCUGAGGCGCGACAGCGUGGGGAGCAAACAGG
Molecule: ribosomal RNA, 253 nt
Filed under: uncultured bacterium
Lineage: Bacteria
Description: partial 16S ribosomal RNA
Rfam family: Bacterial small subunit ribosomal RNA
Source: RNAcentral